UUUUUUUUUUUUUUUUAAAUCAAUGGUAUGUUAAUUCAAGAUUGCUCAAUUUGCUAAAUUGCUCGUUAUUAUGACACUUUACAUUUGAUUACUAUCAAACAGAUGGCCAUUUUUAGUUGGCUAUUAUCUAGUAGAGCCAAGCACGGUCAGAGUCGAAGCAAGGACACGUGGAAACCCAGGGUUGGAAGUGUCCAAUUUUAUUACAUAGACUACGACGUGAAUCAAGUUGGUUAGGAUGCUGGGCUCUUAUCCGAGAGACCUCGGUUCGAUUCCAGGCAAUGGAAUUUAAUUAUAUUUUUUUUCAAGUUUUAAACUUUCUGUUGUAUCACCAACAAUCAAACCAAGGUUUGGUUAAAUACCCAUUUUAUUUUUCUAUUCAGUUAAAUAAUAAAAAAUUUUUAUUUUUU
RNAcentral lists this unclassified non-coding RNA (407 nucleotides) under Hevea brasiliensis (rubber tree). The record is from RNAcentral. Lineage: Eukaryota; Viridiplantae; Streptophyta; Magnoliopsida; Malpighiales; Euphorbiaceae.